RNAcentral lists this transfer RNA (75 nucleotides) under Deltaproteobacteria bacterium. RNAcentral describes it as "tRNA-Thr". It matches the Rfam family "tRNA". Rfam says of the family: Transfer RNA (tRNA) molecules are approximately 80 nucleotides in length. Their secondary structure includes four short double-helical elements and three loops (D, anti-codon, and T loops). Further hydrogen bonds mediate the characteristic L-shaped molecular structure. tRNAs have two regions of fundamental functional importance: the anti-codon, which is responsible for specific mRNA codon recognition, and the 3' end, to which the tRNAs corresponding amino acid is attached (by aminoacyl-tRNA synthetases). tRNAs cope with the degeneracy of the genetic code in two manners: having more than one tRNA (with a specific anti-codon) for a particular amino acid; and 'wobble' base-pairing, i.e. permitting non-standard base-pairing at the 3rd anti-codon position. The record is from RNAcentral. Lineage: Bacteria; Pseudomonadati; Myxococcota; Myxococcia.
GCCGAUGUAGCUCAGGGGUAGAGCAGCUGAUUCGUAAUCAGCAGGUCAAGGGUUCAAUUCCCUUCGUCGGCUCCA